GUCUGCUCAGACUAACAGGCUCACCGGUUGUUCCUGUCAAUCAGACACGCAGUGUCAACCAAUGAACCAAAGAUGCGCGAGGGAGGGUCGAGCCAACUCACUCACAGUCACACACUUAGCAGCCGAGGAGAGAGAGGAAGGACAGCUGUGAAAACAACAGCUGGAAAAUGAAUCGGAUGCACAGUAGCAUUUGGAUGCAUUUUAAUAAUGUAGACAACGUUAGAGCAUAGUGUAGAAUUUGCCAAAACAAAAUCUCAUAUAAAGCCGGUUCUAUGCACAACCUACACCGGCUUAUGAGAACUGUGCACCCAACUGUGAAGCUAGCUGUAGCGGAGCUUCGAGGAACUAGCGGGCCUGCUAGUGAUAGUGGUGGAGCCAGCACCUCCACAUGUGGAGAUGUAUCCACACAGUUAAGUAGGCCUACUCCACGACCCACAGCAACGCAGUCUUCUAUGGACCAGUUUAUGCCAAAGUCUAUGUCUGUAGCAAAACAAGGCCAAAUUGAUAUUGCAUUGGCUAAAAUGAUUGCCACCGAUUUCCAGCCAUUUUUGAUCUUGGAGGACAGAGGUUUUAGAAAUUAUAGCAAUAGUCUAAAUCCAAUGUACACAAUUCCAAGCAGGAAAAACCUUUCAAAAUCACUUAUUCCACAACUGUACGAGAGCACACAGGCUUCAGUGUGAGAAAGAGUCCAAAAAGCUACUGCAGUUUGCCUUACCACUGACUGCAGGACAUCAAGGGUAACCACUUCUUAAAUGUCGAUUACAUGUCACCUCAUUGAAGAUUUUUCGAUGACUAGCUGUCUUCUGGACUGCUUUGAGUUCAGCGACAGACACACCUCAGAGAACUUGGCAGAGGAACUGUUGAGACUGGCAAGUAGAUGGAAAAGUGGUCUGUUGUGUUAGCUACAAUGCAGCUAACAUAACCAAAGCCAUGAAAAUGUUAAAAUGGACCCAUCAUCCAUGUCUUGCCCACACAAUUAACCUGAUUGUAAGAGAUGCUUUGAAGGUGAUGAAGCCCACUGUGGACAAAGUGAAAGCAGCUGUGGAAUACUUCCACAGGAGCACAGUAGAUGCUGAAAAACUAAAGUCUACACAAUGCCAGAUGGGGAUGCCUGAGCUGAGGCCUAAACAAGACUGCACUACAAGGUGGAAUUCAACAUUAUAUAUGUUGAAGCGGUUUCUUGCGUCAAAUGAUGCCAUCAUCUCUACCCUGGCCAUUGUCAAUGCACCUGUUGAUGCUCUGACCCAAGAGGAAUGGGAGAUGGUGGAGGAGGUGUGCAGAGUCCUGGAACCCUUUGAGCAGGUCACUGUGGAGAUCAGUGGAGAGAAGUACACUAUGUGACAGCCUCAAAAAUGAUGCUCCUGUGGAAGGGUCUGCAGCAAAUCACAGCCAGCCGCCAGAGAGAAGCAAAUGUAACCACAGGACAUGUGGCAGAGUGGAUGGACACCCUAUGUUCAUCAAUGGACAGAAAGUUCCACAGAAUGGAAUAUAAUCACUUGCUAUCAGAAACCGCUGCACUUGACCCAAGGUUUAAGAAGUUAGCCUUCAGUGAUGCCAGAGCGAUUGAUGAGGCUCUAUAAAGAAUAACCUCAGCAGCAGGGAGGGACAGCCCCAGCAGUCAGCUGGCUCAGGCACCAGGGCAACGGGAAGAAGAGAGAUCAGAUGGAGCGGAAGCACCAGCAGUAGUGCCACAAACGUCUGCUGUUUGGAUGCUGUUUGACGAGAGAGCAACUGGGGACGCAGCACGAAGGAAUCCCUCAGCAGAUGCCAUAAUGGAGGUCCGAUCCUAUUUGGAGGAGCCCUACUCCAAAGAUAUGCAGAUCCUCUGAGCUGGUGGAAGAACAAGGCUUACUAAAGUCAUGACAGGGAGACUCUGCAUAGUGGCCACAUCCGUUCCCUCUGAGAGGGUCUUCUCGAAAACAGGACAAAUAAUUACUGAGAGAAGAAACCACAUCAGCCACUCGAAAGUGAGGCAGCUUGCAUUUCUGAAUGCAAAUCUUUCAUAAAAGAAAAAUAUGGUCAGCAUUGCUGUGUGCUGCUGGUUAUAACAUGGCAAUAAAGAGAGAGAGAAAAGUGGGACUAGUUUAAUGUUCUAAGUGGGAUGCUGCAGUUUUACACAUUGUGAUUUAUUUUUCUUUG
Molecule: long non-coding RNA, 2139 nt
Filed under: Salmo salar (Atlantic salmon)
Lineage: Eukaryota; Metazoa; Chordata; Actinopteri; Salmoniformes; Salmonidae
Description: lncRNA (ENSSSAG00000092757.1)
Source: RNAcentral